CACACCACCGAAAAUGGAGGCCCAAUGCCGAUUCAUGACCCUGAGAGCUCCAUCCUGAGGGGGCGGGCCCGGAACUUAUCAUUUACUCUGAUGCUUUCCUGAAAGCACUUGCAAAUCGCUAUGACACAAAACUUCAAGAGAUUCAUAAAAAAAAAGACUCAAGCACAGGUGUCUGAUAACUUUUAAAUCACACUGUUGAACCCAUUAAACUGGGGUUGUUCUUAGCCUUACAGCCCUGUGAAAGGGAGCUGGAUGACUUCAUAGAGACUUCAGAGAAAUUGCUACAACAGUUUAUACCUGGACAACCUUGGUGCCUGAGGCUGUGUUGGCCACACAGAAAGUUCACCAGAAACCUGAUGAUAUCACCAGAGACAUCCAAGCUGCAAGCCGGGAACACCCAUCGGAUUGAAACUGCCACACCAGAAGAAGAAAAAACAAAUGCUAUUUCUAUGUGAAUACAUCAGGAAUAGAUGCCCAAAUCUUGGAUCUUUAGAAAUAUAAAAGGCCAGGUCCAGGUGCUCCACCAGACGUGGGAAAUACCGUCAACUGAUCUAGUUAAAUCAAGAGAUUAAAUCUCGGCUCUUGGGGACCCUAGUUUCAGG
Molecule: long non-coding RNA, 602 nt
Filed under: Pan troglodytes (chimpanzee)
Lineage: Eukaryota; Metazoa; Chordata; Mammalia; Primates; Hominidae
Description: lincRNA
Source: RNAcentral